UACGUAGGGGGCAAGCGUUGUCCGGAUUUAUUGGGCGUAAAGAGCGUGUAGGCGGCUUGGUAAGUCCGCUGUGAAAGUCCAGGGCUCAACCCUGGAAUGCCGGUGGAAACUGUCAAGCUUGAGUCCGGAAGAGGCGAGUGGAAUUCCUGGUGUAGCGGUGAAAUGCGCAGAUAUCAGGAGGAACACCAAUGGCGAAGGCAGCUCGCUGGGACGGUACUGACGCUGAGACGCGAAAGCGUGGGGAGCAAACAGG
RNAcentral lists this ribosomal RNA (253 nucleotides) under uncultured bacterium. Its description in RNAcentral is "partial 16S ribosomal RNA". It matches the Rfam family "Bacterial small subunit ribosomal RNA", at positions 524 to 776 of the family's 1533-position model. The record is from RNAcentral.